Molecule: microRNA, 21 nt
Filed under: Callithrix jacchus (white-tufted-ear marmoset)
Lineage: Eukaryota; Metazoa; Chordata; Mammalia; Primates; Cebidae
Also listed under: 1 other name
Description: Cja-Mir-376-P1_3p (mature (guide))
Source: RNAcentral
AUCAUAGAGGAAAAUCCGCAU